GGUCUCUCAGCAGGACAGAUGAAGAGGGAUUCUUUCCUUAGUACCCACGGCAUGUUUUAUGAUUCAGCCACCAUUGUUCGACAUGCCUCCUCGAAAGUGCUAUUCCCUCAGUCUUCUUCAAGGGUCAUUGCAUUGUUUAUCGUAAGUUUCUGAUCUUAUUUGCUGCAAAAUCAAUUCAGUUAAAACCCCAUAGAUCGUGUUAAUUCUCUUCCAUAUGAAGAAAAUAGCUCAAAGACCAGAUAAAAGAGCUCACUAUUUGCUUCCUACCUCCUUAGAAGGUAUAUGGUGGAGAAAAAAAAUGGUCUCUGUUGGAAGUACUUCUAAUUCCCCAGAUUGGUGUAUAAACGAGGAAGUUGCAACACAAAAGUAAGUGCAUUAUUUUUAUGUAACUGAAAUACAAGGCAAUUAUUUAUCUAAAUAAACAACAAUGAAUGAAAAAAGUGAGAAGAGCCAACUAAAGAAGAACAAGGAGGUCGGGAGUCCAAGGCUGGGCUUCGAGGUUAGCUUAGUAUAAACAUGCUGUUAAUUGGAUGUAUAACAAAAAGUUAAUUCUCUCCUCGAGAAACUGCAGGUUUUCAAAUCAAUAAUUCUCUCCUCGAGAAACAUACAUGCAUGUUUAAUGUGUUGCUAAUGGAAUCACAUCUUGGCCUUUACCGGCCACAAAAGAGAAGCCCACUUAGAACAAAAUAAUUGAGGGAGUGCUGAUUGAAUACUACUUCGUUGCGUUUGGAUAAACAUGUCAGAAUAUAGACACAUUUAGAUUUACUUAAUGAUGCUUUUGCCAAAGAUUUUGAAAGUGCGAGAAAAAGAAUGAGUUAACUUUGAUAAACAAUAAAAAAUGAAGUGGCAAAAGAGCAAACCUCUUUUCAUCUAGAGUUUGACGGUAAUUAUUCAAUAUUAUCCAGUUGUCUAAAAGAUAAUGAUAGGUUUGGAUAAGGAAAGAAAAAGGUUAAACAAGAAAUUAAACUGGACCAACUUAAAAAAUUCAUGAAAAUGUCUAGUGCCUCGUAUACUGACACCUAAAAGGUGGUAGACUCUUUUUUUUCUUUUUUUUUUUUCUAUGGAUGGGCCAAAAAAUUACGUCGUUAUGUUUAUUCAACUGAAAUUAUAGGGAACCCACUAAUAAUAAUAAAAAAAAGGACCUUCGUUGUAGCUCUAAGGACGUCGGGGAAAUGAUUUAUGAAAAAGAAAAUACUUUGGUGGCAAAUUAUUCACAAAAUGAGUGCUAGUGCCCUACACCUACAGGAAUUUUUAAGAUGUAAUAAAUGAUCCGUAGUUGACAUUAGACCGACUUGGUAUAUAUUAAUCGUACCUUAUGCAAUACUAUUUGGUUACAUCAAUGUUAAGAUGCAUCACAUGUGGUAAAAAAAAACUGGGAAAUGUUACCUUUUGAUCAUGUGAAAUAGACAAUAAUACUCCUAUUAGUUGAUGAACUUGCAACUGUCCCUUUUAAUGAAAUUGUAAUUGAAAUGAAAAAUAAGGGUUCUAUCAAAAAAAAAAAAAAAAGAAGAAGAGUAAGGGUGUUUUUAUCCAUUCACACGAGUAAUGAAGUGAAAAGAAGUGUCGCUACCAAAUAAGGGAGCAGCAUCCAAAUUUCCUGAAAAAGUUUUGAUUCAUCGUCAGCCAAAACUUAUUUAAAAUGAGUGGUAUUCAGUCACCUUUAGCAUAAAUAGUUGAGCCUCUGCAGUAGUUGCAGCGUGAUCUUCGCGAGGAAUCUAAUCCAUUUAGCUUGAUGGACAGCAACUUCAGAAUUGUCUCUAGUUCAAAUUCUUCAAGAACUUGUGUUGGGUUUCAAGUAAGUAAUUUGUGAUGCAUUAUCAGAUAGGAUUAUGACGGUGAUUAACGAGGGAGUUUGAAUUCACACACACAAACACAUAAUUUGAGUUCUGCACUUUCCACGAAGCAAGAAUCUUAUCAGUGGAGAGGAAAGACCAAUCUGGAGAAGCAAAGGACAAAAGAUUGAAAUUAUGAUGGAAAACUCCAUGGUGAACAGAUGAUGAUCUCCAGGACCUGGUGGAGAGGAAAGGACAAAGAUUGGUAAAAGAAUGGGUGGGAAUAUGGAGCAAUCAUAGAGUGCGUACGUACAGAUUAAGGAGUAGGAUUCUGUAUCCAAAAUGUACUGUACCAAAGAAAGAAGAAACUACUGGGAAACAUUACAAUGAGUUGGAACCACAGGUUGGCACUUGGGCUCC
This 2192-nucleotide long non-coding RNA is filed under the name Coffea arabica (coffee). RNAcentral describes it as "long non-coding RNA (CARA_LNC007978)". The record is from RNAcentral. Lineage: Eukaryota; Viridiplantae; Streptophyta; Magnoliopsida; Gentianales; Rubiaceae.